UGGGGAAUUUUGGACAAUGGACGAAAGCCUGAUCCAGCAAUGCCGCGUGUGUGAAGAAGGCCUUCGGGUUGUAAAGCACUUUUGUCCGGAAAGAAAUCCUUGGCUCUAAUACAGUCGGGGGAUGACGGUACCGGAAGAAUAAGCACCGGCUAACUACGUGCCAGCAGCCGCGGUAAUACGUAGGGUGCAAGCGUUAAUCGGAAUUACUGGGCGUAAAGCGUGCGCAGGCGGUUUGCUAAGACCGAUGUGAAAUCCCCGGGCUCAACCUGGGAACUGCAUUGGUGACUGGCAGGCUAGAGUAUGGCAGAGGGGGGUAGAAUUCCACGUGUAGCAGUGAAAUGCGUAGAGAUGUGGAGGAAUACCGAUGGCGAAGGCAGCCCCCUGGGCCAAUACUGACGCUCAUGCACGAAAGCGUGGGGAGCAAACAGGAUUAGAUACCCUGGUAGUCCACGCCCUAAACGAUGCCAACUAGUUGUUGGGGAUUCAUUUCCUUAGUAACGUAGCUAACGCGUGAAGUUGACCGCCUGGGGAGUACGGGUCGCAAGAUUAAAACUCGAAUGAAUUGACGGGGUCAUAGCUGUUUCCU
This 586-nucleotide ribosomal RNA is filed under the name uncultured bacterium. RNAcentral's name for it is "partial 16S ribosomal RNA". It matches the Rfam family "Bacterial small subunit ribosomal RNA", at positions 355 to 1375 of the family's 1533-position model. The record is from RNAcentral.